AUGAACGCUGGCGGCGUGCCUAAUACAUGCAAGUCGAGCGAACAGACGAGAGUGCUUGCACUCUCUGACGUUAGCGGCGGACGGGUGAGUAACACGUGGGUAACCUACCUAUAAGACUGGGAUAACUUCGGGAAACCGGAGCUAAUACCGGAUAAUAUUUAGCUUCGCAUGAAGCAAUAGUGAAAGACGGUUCUGCUGUCACUUAUAGAUGGACCCGCGGUGUAUUAGCUAGUUGGUGAGGUAACGGCUCACCAAGGCAACGAUACAUAGCCGACCUGAGAGGGUGAUCGGCCACACUGGGACUCAGACACGGCCCAGACUCCUACGGGAGGCAGCAGUAGGGAAUCUUCCGCAAUGGACGAAAGUCUGACGGAGCAAUGCCGCGUGAGUGAAGAAGGUUUUCGGAUCGUAAAACUCUGUUGUAAGGGAAGAACAAGUACGUUAGUAACUGAACGUACCUUGACGGUACCUUACCAGAAAGCCACGGCUAACUACGUG
Molecule: ribosomal RNA, 498 nt
Filed under: uncultured bacterium
Lineage: Bacteria
Description: partial 16S ribosomal RNA
Rfam family: Bacterial small subunit ribosomal RNA
Source: RNAcentral